AGAGUUUGAUCCUGGCUCAGGACGAACGCUGGCGGCGUGCUUAACACAUGCAAGUCGAACGGAAAGGCCCCUUCGGGGGUGCUCGAGUGGCGAACGGGUGAGUAACACGUGGGUGAUCUGCCCUGCACUUCGGGAUAAGCUUGGGAAACUGGGUCUAAUACCGGAUAGGACCAUGGGAUGCAUGUCUUGUGGUGGAAAGCUUUUGCGGUGUGGGAUGGGCCCGCGGCCUAUCAGCUUGUUGGUGGGGUGAUGGCCUACCAAGGCGACGACGGGUAGCCGGCCUGAGAGGGUGUCCGGCCACACUGGGACUGAGAUACGGCCCAGACUCCUACGGGAGGCAGCAGUGGGGAAUAUUGCACAAUGGGCGCAAGCCUGAUGCAGCGACGCCGCGUGGGGGAUGACGGCCUUCGGGUUGUAAACCUCUUUCAGCAGGGACGAAGCGUAAGUGACGGUACCUGCAGAAGAAGCACCGGCCAACUACGUGCCAGCAGCCGCGGUAAUACGUAGGGUGCGAGCGUUGUCCGGAAUUACUGGGCGUAAAGAGCUCGUAGGUGGUUUGUCGCGUUGUUCGUGAAAUUCCAUGGCUUAACUGUGGGCGUGCGGGCGAUACGGGCAGACUGGAGUACUGCAGGGGAGACUGGAAUUCCUGGUGUAGCGGUGGAAUGCGCAGAUAUCAGGAGGAACACCGGUGGCGAAGGCGGGUCUCUGGGCAGUAACUGACGCUGAGGAGCGAAAGCGUGGGGAGCGAACAGGAUUAGAUACCCUGGUAGUCCACGCCGUAAACGGUGGGUACUAGGUGUGGGUUUCCUUCCUUGGGAUCCGUGCCGUAGCUAACGCAUUAAUACCCCGCCUGGGGAGACGGCCGCAGGUUAAACUCAAGGAUUGACUGGGGCCCGCACAGCGGCGGAG
Molecule: ribosomal RNA, 909 nt
Filed under: uncultured Actinomycetes bacterium
Lineage: Bacteria; Bacillati; Actinomycetota; Actinomycetes
Description: bacterial SSU rRNA
Rfam family: Bacterial small subunit ribosomal RNA
Source: RNAcentral